CUUCUUAUCCGUCUGUCCCGGU
RNAcentral lists this microRNA (22 nucleotides) under Triops cancriformis. Its description in RNAcentral is "tcf-miR-10352". Lineage: Eukaryota; Metazoa; Arthropoda; Branchiopoda; Notostraca; Triopsidae. The record is from miRBase by way of RNAcentral.